RNAcentral lists this long non-coding RNA (332 nucleotides) under Chinchilla lanigera (long-tailed chinchilla). RNAcentral's name for it is "lncRNA (ENSCLAG00000024486.1)". The record is from RNAcentral. Lineage: Eukaryota; Metazoa; Chordata; Mammalia; Rodentia; Chinchillidae.
GCAAUGUUUGCAGUAGCUGCAGAACAACAAACAAGCAACUAGGAAAAGGCCCUGCAUUAGGAGGGAGGCAGGGCCGAGGGAUUAGCAGAUGGGGGAAGAGGAUGAGAAGCACUAAGAGACUGGAGAUGUUCUAUUGGCUUAGAAAACUUUCUGCUGGGAAUGAUCUCACCAUGAGACAGCCAAGAUCAAGUGGCUUGACCCAGUAUGUAAGCACUGGGCAAAUUCUCCAGCCUGAGUGGCUCACAGUUCCUCAGCAUUCAUUCUACAAAGUGGCAUUACUUCUCAAGUGGAGUGCUUGGAAAACAGAGAGGAACAAGACUCAGCUAUUCUAA